CCUUCAAUGGAGAAAGGGCAAGAGAGAACUUGAUGAGUUAGUCACCACUUCAUCUAGACUGCAACAUAGAAAAGCAGCGCCUGCACUUGGAAAAGGGGGAGGAAAUGGAUUGAUUUCAUAGUUCUAAGCUUAGUGAAAACCAAGGGGUGUGAAUCCAAGGGAUUCGAAUCAAGUGAGGCGGACUAUGCGUGGAUAGCUAAUUGCACAAACUUCUUGGAUAACAAGUUGUAGAGACGGAAAGCGUUCAGGUA
Molecule: long non-coding RNA, 251 nt
Organism: Gastrolobium bilobum
Lineage: Eukaryota; Viridiplantae; Streptophyta; Magnoliopsida; Fabales; Fabaceae
Exons: 3
Source: RefSeq, a predicted model, not a curated record